CAGUAAAUAGUUUAUUUAAAAUAUUAAUUUUGGAGAUUAAAGAUAUUAAUUUAAUUUUACUGA
This 63-nucleotide transfer RNA is filed under the name Calacanthia angulosa. RNAcentral describes it as "tRNA-Pro". Lineage: Eukaryota; Metazoa; Arthropoda; Insecta; Hemiptera; Saldidae. The record is from RNAcentral.